Molecule: ribosomal RNA, 292 nt
Filed under: uncultured bacterium
Lineage: Bacteria
Description: partial 16S ribosomal RNA
Rfam family: Bacterial small subunit ribosomal RNA
Source: RNAcentral
GUGUCAGCCGCCGCGGUAAUACAGAGGGUGCAAGCGUUAAUCGGAUUUACUGGGCGUAAAGCGUGUGUAGGUGGCUCGCUAAGUCGGUUGUGAAAUCCCUGGGCUCAACCUGGGAAUUGCAGUCGAUACUGAUGAGCUCGAGUUCGGUAGAGGGUGACGGAAUUCCCGGUGUAGCGGUGAAAUGCGUAGAUAUCGGGAGGAACAUCGAUGGCGAAGGCAAUCACCUGGGCCUGAACUGACACUGUGACACGAAAGCGUGGGUAGCAAACAGGAUUAGAUACCCUGGUAGUCC